CAGCAGCCGCGGUAAUACGUAGGUGGCGAGCGUUGUCCGGAAUUAUUGGGCGUAAAGGGAGCGCAGGCGGACAUAUAAGUCCAUCUUAAAAGUGCGGGGCUCAACCCCGUGAGGGGAUGGAAACUGUAUGCCUUGAGUGCAGGAGAGGAAAGCGGAAUUCCCAGUGUAGCGGUGAAAUGCGUAGAUAUUGGGAGGAACACCAGUGGCGAAGGCGGCUUUCUGGACUGUAACUGACGCUGAGGCUCGAAAGCCAGGGGAGCGAACGGGAUUAGAGACCCCCGUAGUCCCUGUCUCUUAUACC
This 301-nucleotide ribosomal RNA is filed under the name uncultured bacterium. RNAcentral describes it as "partial 16S ribosomal RNA". It matches the Rfam family "Bacterial small subunit ribosomal RNA", at positions 509 to 808 of the family's 1533-position model. The record is from RNAcentral.